Quercus lobata is the source of this 2934-nucleotide long non-coding RNA. RefSeq lists it as uncharacterized. Lineage: Eukaryota; Viridiplantae; Streptophyta; Magnoliopsida; Fagales; Fagaceae. The transcript is spliced from 2 exons. The record is from RefSeq and is a predicted model, not a curated record.
AUUAAAUUGAAAGAGACUGACCGACUGACAGAGACUCUGAUAAACAAAGAGAGACUGGAGCCAAUUAGAAAAAGAAGCAGAAGAAGAAGGAAGAUGAAGCCGACUAAAAAGAGUUCCCUACGACUUUUUGAUUAACAAUGCCUUCGACGGGUUUCUAUUUUUUCUCUAACUUUUUUUUUCCCACAAAUUUAAAGUUAAAUUAGUUUUGCUAUAUGUUUUCCACUUAUACAAUUGCAGUCAGAUUUUGGUUCCAGAAAUUAGGGUUAAGGAAAUUGGAAUUAUGAUUGUGGCUAUUUCUAUUAAAUAUUUACGGUAAUGGGUUUGUUUGAAUUCUUCUCUUUUGGAUUUAAAUCAUUCAAUUUCUUCCCUCUGCAACAAUAAAGUGGAAUCUUUCUACAAUCUAGAGUCUCUAAUUUAAUCAAAGUAAAAGUCUCAAUUAAUUUUCCUAAUAUUCUCUUCGAUUAUGGUUUGCUGUCAAUUUAGGAAUUUGGAUUCAUAACCCUUUCCUCUCUAUUCGUUAAAAUUAGGGAAAACCCCUCAAAAUAUGAAAAUCCUACCUGAGUUAUAAUGGCCUCUUACCUGUUCUGUUUUUAUUGCAAGGGGGAGUGAAAUUGUGGGAUUUUGAAAUCUGAUAGUAUAACUUUCUUUACACUAAGUUUAUUACUUUGUAGAUUUUAGUUGAUAUUUUUUUUAAAGAGACUUUUUAGGUCUUAUUUUUUUAUUUUUAAUGUUGGGUUAAUGGGUUUAAAUUGUGAAAUCUGAAAGUAUAAUAGUAAAAGGAAUUGCAGCCAGUUCUAAAGUUUUGUUUUGUUUUGUUUUUUGUUUGUUUGUUUUUUUUUUUUUUUUUUUUUUUUUUUUUUUUUUCUCAAAUUUCAAUUACGUUUGUUAGUUUACUUUGCUAAAUGUGAAUCAAUAUUGGAUAGAUUAAAUCAAUCAUCAUAGAGAGCAGAUUGAAUCAAUAUUAGAUUUUUGAUUCAAUAUUUAGGCUUCUCUGUUUGUGUUUGGCUUUUGGUGGGCAUUCGGAUUGGCAUAUACAUUGAAUUUAUAUGUAUGACAUUGAAAUUUCUGAUUCAAUAUUUUGGUUUAUCUGUUUGUGUUUGGCUUUUGGUGGGCAUCCGGAUUGGCAUAUACAUUGAAUUUAGAUGUAUGACAUUGAAAUUUCCAUUGUAAUGUGGCAACUGUGAAAUGAUAAGGGAAUGGGCAUUAGUUAUGAAUAUUAUGGUCAUUGGAAAAGACAAUUCUGAGGCUUUAGCACUUAGAUUUUAUCUAUUAAUAUUCUUCAGAUUUUUUUUCUUUCUUACUCUUUUUCCAUGCUUGACCCGUUCUUUUUUCCUCCAAUACAUGAUGCUUCUUUUUCUCCCAAUUUAUCUAUCAUUGGUUUUUCUAUCUGUGAAUAGAGCAGAAAGUAGGUAGGCAAUCUGUCACUAACACAGGUUUUAUUACUUUUUAAGGACUUCACCUUUCUUAUAUGAGACACACUGUACUUUUUUAUAUUUGUGUUUAGGACUUACUAUUACUUCUGUUAAAUACCUUUACGUAUUGAUCUUAUUUUAAAAUAUUUUUUAUCCCAUUUUUUAGUGUGUACUGCCAUGCACAUGAUCAUGAAGAUUAGUUUUCUGGUGGUUAAUAAUUAUAUGUUAUUGAAUCACACUUAAUACAGAAUACCUCUUUGGCCUUCAAAUAGUGACAUGCAUUGAGAUCUCAAAUGAUACGGUUUAUGUAUACUGUUUAUCUUUUUUUUUUGGAGAAAGAUUGUUUAUUUUAUUUGAUUGUUAGAUUACCAAAAUCUUCAAAAAAAAUUUCAUUUUUUCUCCUCUGAUUUUUAAUUCAAUUACUUCUUCAUUCUGCAACCUUUGAAAUGAUUUGGUUUUGCUUGGAAUAUUUGGAUUCGUUUUUUUAGGGUACUCUAGACUUAUAAUUCAAAGGCUAUGAAAUUUAGAUUUUUUUAAUAGUUGGGCUUCUCAUUAAUAUACAAUAGAUUUAUCUUAACUGUGUUAACAAUGUUGCAUGACUGUUGACUGAGUUUUUUAGAAUGAUACAUGUUUGAAAACAUGUCUUAUAGACUUGCAUUUUAUUUCCUUAGUAUUAUGUUGUUUAGAAAAUAUAUACCUGCAAAACGAAUCCUCUGACUUUUAAUACCAUUAAGAUUAUUGCACUAUUGACUCAUAAAAUAGAUGCCUACAAAAGAGAAAGCAAAGGGUAGCCCAUAGCUGUAUGAUGCCAUUUACUAUAUCUUUGAUCCUUUUUUCUUUUCUUUUUUUCUUGGUAAUAUGUUUGAAAUAUGGCUAAAGGAAUACCUCCAGACCACAGCCACCCCCUUAUACUUUUAAGGGCCAGAAUAUAAAUGAAAACAACAUGGAAAGUGUACCAAUAGUAGGUUUACAUAAAUAACUUUUUAGAGUAAACUUACUAGAAUUAAGAUACUUACUUCAAUGCUUUUGACUGGCUUUGUAUAGGGUGAUUUCUUAGGUUUUGUAUGUCUAAAUAUUGUAGUGCUCUUUACGCUUAAACUCACAUGGCUCAAUCAAAAUAUAUAACUAAAGGAUCCUAUUGUGCAUCUUUGAUUCUUAAAGGGAAUUUUCAUGUUGAUGAUCAUGAUCAUCUCUUUAGAAGUAUUUGGAUUCAAUUAGUUUUUGUUUUGGACUGGACUGAACUGAAUUGUAAAACCAUAGUAUAAUUCAGUUAGGUUUUUCCCAUCAAUUUUCACAGUGAAAGCUCCUACCUAUGCCUUGGAAUUUUUUUAAGAGCAUGCUCUGUAAGUACUUUUAUUCUGUUUUGAGAUGAUUAAAGCUUUAUCACAUUUAUCUCAUUGGAAUUUUGGCUUAGUUAAAAAAAGGGGCAACAAGGUAUAUAAAUGUGCACAUGCAUAAAUAUUUGUAUGUAUCAGUCCUGCCAAUUUGUAGUAAAGAAUUAUUAUCUUCAACUAUAAGAUUU